Molecule: long non-coding RNA, 356 nt
Organism: Actinia tenebrosa (Australian red waratah sea anemone)
Lineage: Eukaryota; Metazoa; Cnidaria; Anthozoa; Actiniaria; Actiniidae
Source: RefSeq, a predicted model, not a curated record
GAUACCAACCUCCAUCGUAUCAUUUUGUCCUUUUGAGAUAAAAAUCUCCCGUCUUUUAUACUUUCUGCGAGAUCAUCUGAAAAUGAGAAAAGACGUCAAAAUUAAAGAAAAAGAAUGGGAAUUGGAUAAGCUGCUGUUAAAAAUGAGGGAAAUGGAGAGUGGGAGAAGAUGGGAGUCCCAUUUUUCAUCUUUUUUCGUCCCAGCUUUGCACUGAUUGGUAAUGCAACCUCUUUGCCAUUCUCUCGCCAAAGCCAUAAAUAGUCCCCACAGGGGAGGUGUGUGGUCUUGUGCUGGACAUCCCAUUCCUUCAGUCUUCGACACAACUUUAAUCAAAAUAAACAUUAUUAUCAGAUUAA